AACGCGAAGAACCUUACCUGGGCUUGAACCGUCGGUAGUAAAAGCUAUGAAAGUAGCGAUGACCCGUAAAGCCGGAUGCCGAUAGAGGUGCUGCAUGGCUGUCGUCAGCUCGUGUCGUGAGAUGUUGGGUUAAGUCCCGCAACGAGCGCAACCCUUACUCUAUGUUGCUACGUCCGUAAAGGACAGCACUCUUAGAGAACUGCCUCGGAUAACGGGGAGGAAGGUGGGGAUGACGUCAAGUCACCAUGGCCUUUAUGUCCAGGGCUACACACGUGCUACAAUGGUCGGUACAGCGAGCAGCGACUCCGCAAGGAUGAGCAAAUCUCUAAAAGCCGGCCCCAGUUCAGAUCGUGGGCUGCAAUUCGCCCACGUGAAGGUGGAAUCGCUAGUAAUCGGGGAUCAGCUGGCCCCGGUGAAUACGUUCCCGGGCCUUGUACACACCGAGUAUA
This 449-nucleotide ribosomal RNA is filed under the name uncultured bacterium. RNAcentral's name for it is "bacterial SSU rRNA". It matches the Rfam family "Bacterial small subunit ribosomal RNA", at positions 958 to 1398 of the family's 1533-position model. The record is from RNAcentral.